GCUGUGCACACCCCAUGUCUUCAUCUCCAGCAUGCCGCAAGGAGUGCGAUGAAAGGAGCAGCUGUUCUCCCCAGGCCUUAUGUCCUCUCCUCUUCAUAGAGAGAAAGUGCAGAAGAGCAGUUCUGGACUUGGUGGGCCUGGAGAAACCCUUCAUUUUGACAGCCAGGAGUGGGAGCCCAUCCUCAGCCCACCCACAAAUGGCUGUAUCCAGCACUGCAUAUCUGCUCAAAAAACAAAAGCGACCCAAGUGGAGAGAGAAAGCUAAUCAUGGGCUUGGCAUCUGAUUGUGGUCUGGCUUAAUACAUUAUUCUUAGAGCCAACUGGAAAGGAAACCACCACC
This 340-nucleotide long non-coding RNA is filed under the name Homo sapiens (human). RNAcentral describes it as "HSALNT0180982". Lineage: Eukaryota; Metazoa; Chordata; Mammalia; Primates; Hominidae. The record is from RNAcentral.